CAAAGAGCCUUGAACAGGAGAUAAGGAAAAUGCUGCACAUCCUAGAGGUAUUAAGAUGAUGAUCUUCUUGCCAUCGUCGAUCCCCUAGUACAUAUAAAUGACACGUAAUGAUCUUUUCCCCCAAGAUUUUAGUAUUCGAGACUAGUUGGUAGCUCACUGCCUAGAUGUCUAUCAUGAGGCUGAUGUUGUGCUUUCUGCAAGAUCUGUAGAAAGGUGUUUGGCGUGGCUGGGCAAAUUGUGUAAUGACAAGCUUAUAAGCUGAGCAAGUUGAUCUUCGAUGAUGUCAUUUCAACAGUGUUGGAAGUUAGCUUCUCUAGCAUUGUGGUAGAAGUCACUGAGACUGUGAGACUUCUUUCCCCAACUAUCUUACUGAGAUGGAUAUUGAUUUGUGUUCAUAUUCUCCUAUUUGAUGCUAAAAUGUGGUCAAUCUAUAUUGGAAUUGAAUAUCUUAUUGGCUUUCUUGAAUGUACCUAUUGUAAUUUCAAGAUUUUGUUUUGUAGAUCACCAUUCAGUUACUGUCCUUGUCGGUCCAGUGGCUAUGGUUAGAGUUGCCUUUUUCACAUCUCAGUUAGCUUCAUUAAUGCAUAUUUCUGUUAGAAAUUCCCAUUCGAAACUAAAAUAGAAGUCCCAGCUCUUGCCUCAAGAUGGCAGACUGGAACUCAAUGGAGCUUCAGCAUAAUUUUGCAUUCAGCUGCCUUAAAAUAAUGUUAUAACUCAAGGAAAUCGAGUAUCUGGUCAGAAUCGUUGCAUGGAAAUACAAGGGUCAAGCUUGCAAACAGUAUGCAGCACUGGCUGCAACCUGAUGUAUAACCACUAGUAAGUGGGGCUGGGCUUGUGAAGAUGCUUAUACUGGGAAGUGGACUUGAGUCUUGAUGAAUAGCAAACGAAAUACCAGGCAAAAGGUUUUCUAUGGGAAGUGGGGGCCAUUGAUAGCAGGCCAUGGAGAAGUAAUGUUUGAUAUUAGUUUUUGUACAGCAGAUACUGAAUGGCAAUCUGGGUGUGGUAGUCUGGUGCAUUUAUUGAAGUCAGAUUGUUGGCCUUGCAGAUUAGCAAGCUGUCCAUAAUGUAUAUUGGGUGUAGUUGUCUGGUGCAUUUAUUGAAGUCAGAUUGUUGACUUUGCAGAUUAGCAAGCUGUCCAUAAUUUACAUCUGAAGUAAGUAAAAGAUGUAGGUACUCAUUUAAUAAAGUUAUAAAUCAGCUGAAUUUAGUAUCAUUUGACCAUAGACGUUGAUGAUUUAAUUGUCUUUGUAUUACCUGGAAAAAAUGGUUUAGUGCAUGAUUCCUAGACCAAGAGGUGGAGUAUGGCUUCCCUAAUUAAUAUCUGGUCUAAGGUCCCGAAUCUUAAUGAGAAGCAUAAUGUUCUGUAUGAAUCAAAAUAGGAAGAUAGUUUUGCCCUAUUUUGGCAGAGUUGUUCUCUCAAUAAGAUACCUGGUAGCUUCCGUCGGUGUCUGGUGUGGAAAAGACGGUUCCUGUAUUGAUUUCUUAAUUUUUAUGUACAACUCCUACCCUUAGUUUCAAAAUGUAUAUAAAACAUGUCAAGACUUGGAUUCUGGAUGGUCUGCCUUAUGAAUUAAGAACCAGACUCUAUUGUAAAGACUCCUUAUACAGGUCAUGUACCAAUUGUUAGGAAUAUAGUGGACAAGUCCAUUUGGCUUUUUUUUAAAAAAAAUAAAAAUCAGUAAAUAUUGUAACAAGGUAGUUGAGUUUAUUUGGAUCUAUCAAACUGAUUAUAGCUAGGCCUGUAUUUGGUGUGUAAGUGUUGAUUUGGGUGCAGAAAGGGUACCUCUGAAAUGAUACUACAUAUGCUACCCUUUGCAGUAGGGCUAAAAUGAAAAUAAUCUGGCAAUUGAAGCCUAUAAAACAAAUAUCUUCUUGGCCAUCACUACUGUACUUUGCAAAAUGUCUUUUUGGUGAACAAUAUACAAUGAUCAGAAGAUAAAUAAAGGUAGGGCCUGUAAACCAUGGCUGAAGAUUUGGCAUAACCAUACAAGAAGUUCUGCUUAAUAUCCUACAUUUGUUUCAAACAAUAAAGUCCUCCGUUUUCAAAUAGGUGGGAGGACGUCUUUCUCAAAAACAAAGAAGAAGAAAAGAAUAGAAAAACUUUGAACUAUUUUUCUAUGGCUUCUUACAGUCAAACAAUUGUAUGAAUAUUUGUGUAGAAUCAGAGAUGGUCAUUUUUGCUGCCUUGCUUCCUUUAUUUUCUGCUCAUACAUACUUCCAAUAAAAUUUCUCUAACAUGGGAAAUUCUAAUUAGAAGUGAUUUUCUGAUAUCCAUUGCAACCUCUCUAUCAGUUGUCAAGAUUUUUGUCAAGCAUAUCAUAAUUGCUACUUCAAGAUAGAUGUUUUCUGUCUCUGCCUCUUUUCAGGAACCAUGUUAGUGCUGGUAUAGACUGUACAGAUAUACAGACAGUUUACAUUACAAUUACAGUACUCAACAACCUACACUUAAUGGAACAGGCUGUGUCUUCCACAUAUAGUUGAGUGUCAUCUCCAAUCAACUUUGAGUCGCUAUUUGAUUAGCUGCCUCUGUCAAAUGCAACUCUAUUUGUAACCUCUGAUGGAGUGCUGUGUUUGUCCCCACUCCUUUCUUUUCAAUCUCCAACUCUUCUCUUAAUGGUAUGGUAGCUAGAAAUCUAUUUAUGAACUCCCUGCAGCACUCCUUCCCACUGCAGUGUAGCUCUUCUCCACCUUCAUUUCCACUGUCCUCUGGCAACCUAUACAUCUCCGUGGAGUCAUCAAACCGGAGUAUGUAGGCUUUAUAACAUCCUUCAAACAAUCUUUCCCCCAGUGUAUCAAUGACAUAAUAAGCAUUAGCUUCCACCUUAAGCAAAAAGAAGUGAUCGUUCCAGCUCACGAUAUAGACCUUAGGAUCACCUUCUCUGAUGUUGCUAGUAAUGUCUUGCCAUAUAUCAUCAAAGGACAUUGCCCCAUGUAAUGAUUCAAAACUCUCUGGUUGGAAGAACCCAACGAAAGAUUUGUCUGGCAGAACAGAUAUAGGCUUUAUAUUUGCUUCUAUUAUGGUGUCAAGGUCAAAGUGCUUGUUGGGGAAACGGCCUAUAUAGGACACAUUUUCACAUAACUUUCUCCACUCAGAAGAGCCUUCUCUGAUAAGCGUAUCAAACUCUGAUCUGGUUGGUGGGUUCAGUCCAUUGGAGUGGAGUGCAUUAGCAAUUACAGCAACGAGGGCAGUGCAAGCACUCUCGCCACCUGCGCUCUCAUCUCGCUGGUCAAUGGAAGCAAAGAAGACUUGAGUUUUGAGCUUUGUUUCCCUAUCUCUGCUGAUGAAUUCUUUGACUUUCCAGCUACCAACUAGAUCAUCAUCUUGAUCAGAUCCUGAGGAUUCUUUUUUGUGCUGAGAAGAAACAUGAAUAAUUCAGAUCAUUCCAUCCAUGUAGUCAUCGAGAUAUAUGGAAGGCUUAUGUUGUAGUGAUUACUUACCAUGCCACUUCUGGAAGGUAUGUUUUCAAGACUAGAAGAAUCCUGGGUCUCCCUGCUUUUGUUAGCAAUCUUGCUUCUCUUUCUCCAGGAAAGAAAUGAUUCUUUUGAAGUCAAUCCUGUCUCUGGACUUGAUCUCCCACUGCUGCUGCUGCUGUUACUGGCAGCAUGAUCCCUCUUGCUGUAAUCUGCCAAUUUAUCUUUUUCAUCUGCUAAUAGGAGCUGAUCUUCUGCAUUGAAGAUACAUGAAUCAUCAGUUCCAGCCUCGUCGCUUGUUUGCUUUUCUUGUUGGUUCUUCUUGCCUUUUGUGGGCUCAUCAAAGUUGAUGGUCACCUGCAUGACCCACACCAUCAACAGACUUUUUUAUUAUCAAACAGUUAAAUGGUUUUAUUAGAAACACUAAAUCGCAGUUUGGCUUUCAAUAUAGUACCUGUUGUUGGUUGAAAUGACAUUAUAAAUUUAUAAUGAUACUUCCAUUAUAUUUUCUCUUUCAAUGUUGUCAACCUCAUUUUCUAUUUAUAUUUUGCAUAACUCACAAUUCUUAAGAGCAGAAAAGGAUACUGAAAUUAACCCAUGGUAAUUCCUUCACAGAUGGGGAAAGAAGCGCUUGUCAAACAACUGGGACCAGCCUAGCAUCUUAAUGUAUCCAACUCUUACCACUUGUAAAAUGGUUUUAAUCUUUCACAAUCUUAUGCAGAGGUUGUUAGCAUGAGAAACCAAGAUGCUUCUUUUGCACUCAAAAGCAGGUCACAUAUCAUACCGUUUUCAUCAAUAUUUUGAACAUUGACAAAUUGUUAGGUACCAUAUUAUAUUGAUGACUAACCAUAUUGUCUUUCUUUUACAUAUUUCAUCAGCUUCUUUAGAUUUCUCUUAAUAGCUUCUGUUAUCC
This 4324-nucleotide long non-coding RNA is filed under the name Phoenix dactylifera (date palm). RNAcentral describes it as "long non-coding RNA (PDAC_LNC001996)". Lineage: Eukaryota; Viridiplantae; Streptophyta; Magnoliopsida; Arecales; Arecaceae. The record is from RNAcentral.